UUGGUACAGUUGCCUUAAGAGCUGGUCCCAUUUUGGCUGCAAGCGGUUUCUUUGAUGCAGUGAUAAGUGGAAAGGGAGGACAUGCUGCCAUUCCACAGAACUCAAUUGAUCCUAUUUUAGCAGCUUCCAAUGUGAUCGUUAGUUUGCAACAUCUCGUUUCACGUGAAGCUGAUCCCUUGGAUUCACAGGUAGUGACAAUUGCAAAAUUCCAAGGAGGUGGUGCAUUCAAUGUUAUUCCAGAUUCUGUUACUAUUGGUGGCACAUUCAGGGCAUUUUCCAAAGAGAGCUUUAUCAAACUUAAACAACGAAUUGAAGAGGUUAUCACAAAACAGGCUAGCGUUCAAAGGUGCAAUGCUACUGUCAUAUUUAAUGAAGAUGAGAAACCCUUUUACC
This 393-nucleotide unclassified non-coding RNA is filed under the name Hevea brasiliensis (rubber tree). The record is from RNAcentral. Lineage: Eukaryota; Viridiplantae; Streptophyta; Magnoliopsida; Malpighiales; Euphorbiaceae.